UACGAAGGGUGCAAGCGUUACUCGGAAUUACUGGGCGUAAAGCGUGCGCAGGCGGUUCUAUAAGACAGAUGUGAAAUCCCCGGGCUCAACCCUGGGAACUGCAUUUGUGACUGUAGAGCUGGAGUACGGCAGAGGGGGAUGGAAUUCCGCGUGUAGCAGUGAAAUGCGUAGAUAUGCGGAGGAACACCGAUGGCGAAGGCAAUCCCCUGGGCCUGCACUGACGCUCAUGCACGAAAGCGUGGGGAGCAAACAGG
This 254-nucleotide ribosomal RNA is filed under the name uncultured bacterium. Its description in RNAcentral is "partial 16S ribosomal RNA". It matches the Rfam family "Bacterial small subunit ribosomal RNA", at positions 524 to 776 of the family's 1533-position model. The record is from RNAcentral.